This 443-nucleotide ribosomal RNA is filed under the name uncultured bacterium. Its description in RNAcentral is "partial 16S ribosomal RNA". It matches the Rfam family "Bacterial small subunit ribosomal RNA", at positions 338 to 795 of the family's 1533-position model. The record is from RNAcentral.
CCUACGGGUGGCAGCAGUGGGGAAUAUUGGGCAAUGGGCGCAAGCCUGACCCAGCAACGCCGCGUGAAGGAAGAAGGCUUUCGGGUUGUAAACUUCUUUUUUCAGGGACGAAGCAAGUGACGGUACCUGGCGAAUAAGCCACGGCUAACUACGUGCCAGCCGCCGCGGGAAUACGGAGGUGGCAAGCGUUAUCCGGAUUUACUGGGUGUAAAGGGCGUGUAGGCGGGGAGGCAAGGCAUAUGUGAAAACCACGGGCUCAAACUGUGGCCUGCAUUUGAAACUGUUUUUCUUGAGUGCGGGAGAGGCAAGCGGAAUGCGGGGUGUAGCGGUGAAAUGCGUAGAUAUACGGAGGAACACCAGUGGCGAAGGCGGAUUGCUGGACAGUAACUGACGCUGAGGCGCGAAAGCGUGGGGAGCAAACAGGAUUAGAUACCCGAGUAGUC